GACCUGGUGGUGAAAUGUAUCACACCUGUGCUUUAUAACAGGCCUCCUUCUCUAUAUGUAGGAGUUCUCCGGUUCGAAUCCAGGCCAGGUCA
Mycena leptocephala is the source of this 92-nucleotide non-coding RNA. Lineage: Eukaryota; Fungi; Basidiomycota; Agaricomycetes; Agaricales; Mycenaceae. The record is from the annotation of a GenBank genome assembly.